Molecule: small RNA, 134 nt
Filed under: Vibrio nigripulchritudo
Lineage: Bacteria; Pseudomonadati; Pseudomonadota; Gammaproteobacteria; Vibrionales; Vibrionaceae
Also listed under: 14 other names
Description: His_leader
Rfam family: Histidine operon leader
About the family: At least 6 amino acid operons are known to be regulated by attenuation. In each a leader sequence of 150-200 bp is found upstream of the first gene in the operon.
Source: RNAcentral
UCAUCACCAUCAUCAUCCUGACUAGUCUUUCGGGAGGUUUACGCAUACCCGAGAGGCUCAGAACUCUCGGUGGUUGAAUCAAAAAUAUCAGAUUUAGACCCUCGGGAGAGCAAAACUCCCGAGGGUUUUUUCAU